This 892-nucleotide ribosomal RNA is filed under the name uncultured bacterium. Its description in RNAcentral is "bacterial SSU rRNA". It matches the Rfam family "Bacterial small subunit ribosomal RNA", at positions 505 to 1397 of the family's 1533-position model. The record is from RNAcentral.
GUGCCAGCCGCCGCGGUAAUACGUAGGUGGCAAGCGUUGUCCGGAUUUAUUGGGCGUAAAGCGAGCGCAGGCGGUUUCUUAAGUCUGAUGUGAAAGCCUUCGGCUCAACCGAAGAAGUGCAUCGGAAACUGGGAAACUUGAGUGCAGAAGAGGACAGUGGAACUCCAUGUGUAGCGGUGAAAUGCGUAGAUAUAUGGAAGAACACCAGUGGCGAAGGCGGCUGUCUGGUCUGUAACUGACGCUGAGGCUCGAAAGCAUGGGUAGCAAACAGGAUUAGAUACCCUGGUAGUCCAUGCCGUAAACGAUGAGUGCUAGGUGUUGGAGGGUUUCCGCCCUUCAGUGCCGCAGCUAACGCAUUAAGCACUCCGCCUGGGGAGUACGACCGCAAGGUUGAAACUCAAAGGAAUUGACGGGGGCCCGCACAAGCGGUGAAGCAUGUGGUUUAAUUCGAAGCAACGCGAAGAACCUUACCAGGUCUUGACAUCCUUUGACCACUCUAGAGAUAGAGCUUUCCCUUCGGGGACAAAGUGACAGGUGGUGCAUGGUUGUCGUCAGCUCGUGUCGUGAGAUGUUGGGUUAAGUCCCGCAACGAGCGCAACCCUUAUUACUAGUUGCCAGCAUUAAGUUGGGCACUCUAGUGAGACUGCCGGUGACAAACCGGAGGAAGGUGGGGACGACGUCAAAUCAUCAUGCCCCUUAUGACCUGGGCUACACACGUGCUACAAUGGAUGGUACAACGAGUUGCGAGACCGCGAGGUUUAGCUAAUCUCUUAAAACCAUUCUCAGUUCGGAUUGUAGGCUGCAACUCGCCUACAUGAAGCCGGAAUCGCUAGUAAUCGCGGAUCAGCAUGCCGCGGUGAAUACGUUCCCGGGCCUUGUACACACCGCCCGU